This 2031-nucleotide ribosomal RNA is filed under the name human gut metagenome. RNAcentral's name for it is "bacterial LSU rRNA". It matches the Rfam family "Bacterial large subunit ribosomal RNA", at positions 3 to 2046 of the family's 2925-position model. The record is from RNAcentral.
UCAAGCUACUAAGGGCAUACGGUGGAUGCCUAGGCGCCAAGAGCCGAAGAAGGACGCGGUAAGCUGCGAAAAGCCACGGGGAACUGCAAGCAAGUAUUGAUCCGUGGAUAUCCGAAUGGGGAAACCCGGCCAUCGUCAUGGAUGGUCACCCGCAAGGGAGGGAACCUGGGGAACUGAAACAUCUAAGUACCCGGAGGAAGAGAAAUCAAACGAGAUGCCCACAGUAGCGGCGAGCGAAGAGGGCAGAGCCCAAACCGAGAAGCUCCGGCUUUUCGGGGUUGAGGACCGGCAGAAUCGAAGUCAGGCCUAGUCGAAUUACCUGGAAAGGUAAGCGAGAGAGGGUAAAAGCCCCGUAGACGAAAGGCAGAGCAGAGAGGCCGAGAUCCAGAGUACCACGAAGCACGAGGAAUUUUGUGGGAAGCAGGGGGGACCACCCUCCAAGGCUAAAAACUACUUGGCGACCGAUAGCGCAUAGUACCGUGAGGGAAAGGUGAAAAGAACCCCGGGAGGGGAGUGAAAUAGUACCUGAAACCGUAUGUCUACAAGCAGUCGAAGCGAAAGCGACGGCGUGCCUAUUGAAGAAUGAACCAACGAGUUAUCUGCACUAGCGAGGUUAAGUGGAAGACACGGAGCCGCAGCGAAAGCGAGUCUUAAGAGGGCGCUAGUUAGUGUAGGUAGACCCGAAACCGCAGUGAUCUACCCAUGUCCAGGUUGAAGCGCAGGUAAAAUUGCGUGGAGGACCGAACCGGUGAGCGUUGAAAAGCUUUCGGAUGAGAUGUGGGUAGGGGUGAAAUUCCAAUCGAACGCGGAGAUAGCUGGUUCUCCCCGAAAUAGCUUUAGGGCUAGCCUGAGGUAGUAAGUAUAGGCGGUAGAGCACUGAUCGGGCUAGGGGCCGUAAAGGUUACCGAACCCUGUCAAACUCCGAAUGGAUAUACUGUAGAGCCUUGGAGUCAGACUACGAGUGAUAAGAUCCGUGGUCAAAAGGGAAACAGCCCAGACCACCAGCUAAGGUCCCCAAUGUCGUACUAAGUGGAAAAGGAUGUGGGGUUUCAUAAACAACCAGGAUGUUGGCUCAGAAGCAGCCACCAUUUAAAGAGUGCGUAAUAGCUCACUGGUCGAGAGACCCUGCGCCGAAGAUUCCCGGGGCUAAAGUACGAAACCGAAGCUGUGGCUGUAUACGUAAAGUAUACGGGGUAGGGGAGCGUUCCCAUAGGGUAGAAGUCGAACUGGAAGGUUCGGUGGACUUGUGGGAAGUGAGAAUGUUGGUAUGAGUAGCGAAAAGAAAGGUGAGAAUCCUUUCCACCGAAAGCAUAAGGAUUCCUGAGCAACGAUCGUCGUCUCAGGGUAAGUCGGGACCUAAUCCGAGGCAGAGAGCGUAGGAGAUGGACAACUGGUUGAUAUUCCAGUACCGGUAGUAAUUGUUUGAGCAAUGGAGUGACACAGAAGGGCAGGCAAGCAUGCGAAUGGAAGAGCAUGUGUAAGCGUGUAGGGUGGUGCAUAGGCAAAUCCGUGCACUGAAAGCCUGAGGCGUGAUGCGGAGUGAGCAGAGAUGCGAGCGAAGUUGUUGACCCCACACUGUCGAGAAAAGCUUCUAGUGAGAGAGCUACCGCCCGUACCGUAAACCGACACAGGUAUGCGGGGAGAGAAUCCUAAGGUGCGCGGGAGAACCCUCGUUAAGGAACUCGGCAAAAUGUACCCGUAACUUCGGGAUAAGGGUAGCCACUGUUGUGAAGUCCCAUGCGGAUGGAGCAUAGAGUGGUCGCAGAGAAGAGGCCCAAGCGACUGUUUACCAUAAACACAGGUGCCUGCUAAAGCGAAAGCUGACGUAUAGGUGCUGACACCUGCCCAGUGCCGGAAGGUUAAGGAAGGAUGUUCGGAGUAAUCCAAAGCAUUCGACUGAAGCCCCGGUGAACGGCGGCCGUAACUAUAACGGUCCUAAGGUAGCGAAAUUCCUUGUCGGGUAAGUUCCGACCCGCACGAAAGGUGUAACGAUUUGGGCACUGUCUCAACGAGGGACCCGGUGAAAUUGAA